Long non-coding RNA from Mirounga angustirostris (Northern elephant seal), 5361 nucleotides. RefSeq lists it as uncharacterized. The record is from RefSeq and is a predicted model, not a curated record. NCBI's taxonomy places the organism in Eukaryota, Metazoa, Chordata, Mammalia, Carnivora, Phocidae. The transcript has 2 exons.
CCUGUAAGAUAAAUUAUAUUUAAUGAAGGCAAUCCACUCUAUCUCUGGAUCGAAGUCUUUGAAGUCAUCCAUGCCAAGGAUAAAAUGGAUUUGUAUAUACAAGCAUACAUCAGUAAUUCUGUCCUAUUUGGUUUUUUUCUGUGUUCAGCUCUACGAAUAAAGCAAAGCUGGAGUGCACAGGAAGGGCCAUGUAGUUGUAGCUGUGGGCCAUACUGCUGAGCGUUUCUGUCCCCAUUUGAAAAAAACAGAGAGCCAGCUUAUACAGGUUAAAGGAAGAAACAGUAGUUACACUGAGGGCUAAAACCAUCAGAACAACAACUCUGGUUUCCUGAUAAUGUUUACGGAACGCAUCAGCGUGUAUCCAGCAGAAUUUACAUACAGGCUUUCAGUAUCAACUCCGUGGAAGCUGAGAAAGAUGAGACUCUAUCUUGAAAGAAACUAAAAGAUAACCCAUUUAUAUGUAGAUGUUAAGUGAAUGGAAGAAGAACUGACCAGGAGGGGAGAAAGAUAAAGCCAAGUGCCUUCAGCAGGAGGAGAAAACAAAAUCAGAUUCACCUCAUGCUUGGAAGAGGAAUACAGUAGUGGAUGAAAAGAGGGUGGUGCUGGUGGUUCUCUGAAGCUGUUAAAAGAAAAUGCAAACAUCGAGGUUCCCUCCCCCAACUUUAACAGAAAAUGGGAGAUUUUGGUAAAACUGAACUAGUGAGCCUCAGACCUGGGGGUUGCCAGGGGUAAGGGUGGGAUGCAGAAAGCACAGAUGAGGACAGGAUAAAAUGUCAUGCUGAAAACAGAAGGAUUCAGCCCAAGUCUGUAUAGUGAUGGGACCUUCAGCACCACUCCCACAUCAAGCUCCUGAACACAGGCAGCCAAGGAGGUAUAAAUACCUCCUCCCCGGCAAGAGGAGAAUGGAAGACCCUUCUGUGGAGAAACAAACCACCCCAGAGAAAAGACCAACAGGUAUUAACAUUUGGGAUUUUCUGUCAAAAAGCUAUCUACCCAGGCGCCCUACAGUGAAACCCAGAACAACCCCAACCGGCUUUCUGGUGUAUCAUUUUUUAGCAUUAACACUGAAGGUACCACAGACAUUUGAAGAAAGCCUCCAGGUGGGUAAGAGAAGACAGUGCUUCUUUUAACUAAUAGCAUGCUAUAAAAAAGUAAUCAGAAAAUAAAAGUAUUUAGAAAUUAAAAAUAUGACAUUCAUGUAAGUUAUUAGUCAAAGAAAUCUCCCAGAAAGUAAAACAAAAAGAGCAAGGGGACGAUAAAAGGAAGAGAGAAGAAAAUCAGAAAAUCAACCCAUGAGGGCUAAUGAUGUCUGAUAAUAUUAAUUCCAAGAGGAAUGAAAGGAUAAAAUGGUGGAGAAGCAAUACAAAAAAAGAAAAUUUACCAAAAUAAAGGACAUGGUUAUUGACUGCUUACAGACCCACUGAGUACUCAGUAUAGUGAAUGAAAAAAAGACACACAACAAUGUCUAUCACUGUAACACUUCAGAACUCCACGGGGGAGAGCUCUAGUGUGGGCAAGAAAAAAGAAUACAAAGAAUCAGAACUGAAAAAGGCAUCAGCCUUCUCAGCAGAGGCACUGAAAUGUUUCAACAAGGAAGAAUUUAAGAUUUUCUUAGACCUAUAAAGUCUCAAAAUAUUUAUCUUUCAUGCACUCUUUCUCAGAGAGGUACUAGAAAUGUGCUCUACCAAAAUGAGGCAAAAGGAGGACAAGACUGGAUUCCAGAAACAGAUGGAAUAAAGAAUGACAGGCUGCUAGCUAGUGAGCAGGUCUAAUGAAGAGCAAAGCCAGGAUGGAGCAGGAAGGACAAACUGACAAACUGGUACAUGCAGAAAAGUCCCCUGAGAAGUUUAUACAGCUGUUGUUGGGCAGAACAAAGACUUGGGUAUGUGGUCAAAGAAAAUCAGGCAAAUAAAAAAAUGGAGACAAUUAUUAAUUUCGAGUGAAAAAAAUGUAUGAGACUAAGCAAUAAACAGUAUUUGCUUAGUUCAACAGUCGGUAAUAUUUAUGUAGUUUGUUUAGAUCUACGGUUAAAUGUAGAUUUAAGCAAAAGAUACAAUUAAAUGAGGAUAGGAUUAAUAUAAUUAAAUGAGGAGUAAUUAAGUGACCUAAAAGUCUUCACCUACUAUAAUAGGAAGUCAACAGAGAAUGUCAUACUAUUCAGAAAUACAGAGUUAUGUAACCAAAGAAAUCAUACAAAGUGCUACCUAUGGGACAAGAUGAGGUGGAGGUAGGAAAGGGAAUGAUUUUUGUUAUAUACUGUUUCCAUGUAUGACUAGGAAAUACAUAAAGAUACAUGAAAAAUCCAGAUCUUCUAGGUAGGUUGACCCCCCACCCCCCCAAAAAAAAGAUUAAAGUGCUUUAUAUAUAAGCAUUGCUAAAUAUAAAAAUAAACUAGUGUUUGAUUGAGAUUUCAGUAAGGAUAUUAAAAAGAUUUGUUUAUUCAUGAAAACGAGAAUGGGGAAGCUGUAAAUUCUGACAUCCUUGAAAAGGAUCUGCCUUCAGGAGUUAAAGAAGAUUGGGGAAGAUGUGCUAGUGUGGACUGGAAUACCUGAUCAUCGUGUUCAGUUUCUUCUAUAGCUUCGGUGUUAGCCUGAAGUGAAGUCUGGACGUCCACAGGUCCCUCUUCAAAUUCUUCUAUUUCUUCAUCCUCAUUCUCAUCUUCUCCACUUCCAUAAUUAGUCAAAGCCUGAGUUUCAGCUUUGGACAAGUCUAAGUUGAUUAAUACACAGUUUUUAGUAAAUUUUCAGCACUAAAUCUUAAGAGCUGCUACCAGGUACUGCAUUCCUGCAUUGCCCAAGUCCUUUACAUACAAUAUCUGAAAGCUUCCGAACAGUAGGCAGAAGAACACUGUGGUGCAGAAAGGACAGGGCAUCUGGUCAGGGCCACACCAGACCGUUCAGAGUUGCUGGACACCUAACUCUACAUUCACUACAAUCCACCCAAAUGUUUGGAUAAGUGACCUAUAAAGAGCCAAUGUAUAAACCCAGUACAGAGCCUUUACACUUACUAAUAGACACCGGACAUUCUUCACUUUCUUCAUCUUCCUCUUGAUCAGAAACAUCCGAUCUCACAUUUUUGGGACCGUCAUCAACAUACAUCUCAGAUGUCUGAGUCUGCUUAACUGUUUCAGUUUCAUCCUUGUCCUAGCCACAAAUACACGUAAUGAAUUCCUUAAAAUACAUUUUAAAAGGUAUAUAGUAAGCUCAUCACAAAAAUAGUCACGAUCUAAUAAAAAAUACAAAAAGUUAUUUUUAAGAGAAAAUAAAAUUUUGUCAGAAGAAAGGCCAUUUGAUGAUAAAGCUUUCUCUCAAACAUUAAGGUAAAAGCUAUUAAAGUUAUUUAUCUUUUGUCCCAAAAGCAUUGUUUUUAGGCACAAAUUAAUUAGCCACUUACUUUGUCUUCAUCAUCAAUUUCUCCAACAGGUGAGCCACGAUCUCCUUCAAGAAUCCUUUUGGCCUUAUGAGCAAAUUAAACAGAAUUCAGGGGUGACCUUUCAGCAUUAUACUUACUCAGUAACUUUAACAAAUGCUGCAGUUUUUGACCACAGUCCAAAGAGUUGAAUGCUUUUUUAGAAAUGCAAAUUCAACUCUUCCAUUGAAAUCUUUUAAAUUAGCCAAACAAAAAAUCAACACUGCUUACCAGACAUCUCCCUGAAUAAUGAGCAUCUCAAAUUCAUUAAUUCCAGAACAAAAACCUUGACUCCUCCCUCCCCAAACCCCAGCCUCCUUCAGUCUUCCCAAUCUCAGUAAAUGGCCCUUCAUGUACCCCAUGCACAAGUCAGACACCAGGAAGCAGCCUGGACUCUACCUGUAUUAUCCACAUCUAAACCCUAAGAAUGCCUCAUUGACUCAGAGCUCGGAGCUAAGUCACAUCAUUUCCUACCUGCACUACUGCCGACAGUCUUAAAACUCGUCUCUGCCUCUAUCUCCUCUCCUACAAUUCUUAUACAACACGGUAUCUAGACCAAUCUUUUCACUGCACAUGAGAUUAUGUCCCUCCUCUAUUUCAAAAUUUCCCAUGGGUUUCCAUCAUGCUUAGAAUAAAAUCAAAUAGAAGGUCCUUACCGCUGUUGCUAAGGCCCCAUAGUUUGGCCUUACCUACCUAGGUGACCUCAUCUCCUACACUCUCACCUCUGAUGAGGUGUUCCUGCUACCCUGGCCUUCUAUAGGUUCUCCAAACUGCUCAACCCUGUCUCAGAGUCUUUGAACUUACAGUUCUCUCUGCCUGGAAUGUUCUUCCCUUUCAUCUUCAUUAUAAACUCCUUUCUUGCCUUAGUUCAUACUUCACCCACUCAAACAGCCUCACGAGACUGCCUAUCUUAAAGUAGUCUUUCCAAUCAUUUAUUAUGGUUUUAUUCGGUUUUAUUUUCUUCAAGCUCUUGGCAAUGACUGAAAUGAUCUGAAACCUAUCUAUGUCUAGAGUGAAAAUAUUAAGAAAAGUGUGAAAUGGAUGGCUUGACUUUUAUCUACCUUAGAUUUCAGGGAGAAAGGUUACCUCUUUCUGUUUUGGGUCUUGACGUGCCUUCUCAUGACUAGAGAGUCAAGAGGAGGGAAAGGUCUGAGAGAGAAACCUUCUAGUAUGCCUCAAGUUGAGGGGAAGAAUCCCAUCCAAGUUCAUAUGUGAUCACACUAAUUUAAUAAGGUAUAAGAAGCUACUGAGAUGUGCAACCAAAGUCCCAACUUGUGAACAAGCAUGUGGGUUGGUUGGGGUGACAAAUACACCUGGUAGAUCUGAGAUCUGUCAGGGUCGAAAGAGCUACUGCAGAAAGCUGGUCAAGGACAGGAUCCCAGUCCUCCUCUCUUCUCUGGAGACGUGAGUGACAACAAUGUAAGACAGCUGAUAAUUCCUGUCACCAAGUCCUGUCUGCAUUCCCGAUCUUUUAGCCACUGCUGUCACAUCUGAGAUUCAGUAUGUGGCUGGCAUAUGUGCUGAUUUAGGUAAUCUGAUUAAUUGCUAUUACUCAGAAAAUAUGUGAGCUGAGGUCAAGUAUGGUUUUAGUUAAUAAUGAUCAAGCAAUAUAUUUUAAUGCUAAUUAUAACUACUCCUAAAUUCAAAAUGAAUGUCAUUUACCUCUUUGGCAUAGGACUGUAUCACUCCAGCUGCUUCUAUUUUCCUUUUGCACCUCUGUUUGACAGUUAUACUAUUGUUAUCCAAAUCUUGCAUGAGCUUGAAGAAAGCCAAUUCAUUAAACAACACUUCAGAUAUCUCUACGAGAAGAUCUUCUCCACAGUCUUUCAGUUUUCUGCCAGCAAAUUUUGCCAGUGAAUCCUAUUCAAAGAUAAACCAUGUAAUUUUAAGAUUAUAGUAAACUUCAAUGUGGGUAGAGCAAUACAGAGGAUUAACAAGUUUAAAUUACAAUAC